GGAUCUUUUUCUCCUGCCUAUAUUACUAGAACAAAGCAACGAUUCCAUGGGCAGAGGGGUCCCUGUCUGUGUUGGAGAAGAAUUUCAUUCUUGUGCUGUGGUUUCUCCCUGAAGAUGAGACUUUCACAUUUGAUUUGAAGAAAUGAUUGGUUAUAGGAAAAAGGCAAGGGGGAAAAGGCAAACAUCUGUCUUACAGGUUAACUUUUAAAUUAUACUGUUUGGUUUUGUCAUGCAAUACCCGGCUUUUAACUCGCCAGUGAAGUCUGCAAGGCAGGGCUUUGCAUCUAUUUUUAUCCCGUACACUCUAUCCCUAGUUCAGAAUAAGAUUGCUGGCUUCUUCCAGAACUCUUGUCCACACUCAGCCCUAAAGCAGGAAGUUCAGGGGUUAAAUUGGCUUUUCCUGGAUUGAGGGUAGAGAAGGUGCUGGGGAGAGGCAUCCAGGCAGGAUCGCUCAGGGGAAGAAGGUGACAGCAGAUGUGGAAAGGCUGGACUCUUAACCAGCCAAGUGUCAGGGCAGAGUAAGCCUUAGAGAACGGCAGCUGCCCCUGUGCCGGAGCGCGGAACAGACCAGGGAGGCCAGCUGGGGCGGUGUCUUUGGGACAGAAGGGGGCAAGGUCACACACAGCCGGACACAGACUCUUAGCUGGCUCUCCAUGUCAGCAUGAGCGGGAACCAGGGUCCUGGGCAACGGCACAUCAACCUAUCAGGAUUCAUGGGAUCUUACUUCUUAAUUGUAAAGAGUUAAAAGGAUGAAUUUGGACAGUGAUGGAAUGGAUGACAUCAUCAGUCAAGAAUCCCCAUUGGAUACGGAGGGGAAUUAUAAAAAGGUGAAUGGAAAUGACUGCUUGAGAUAAACUGCAAUAAACAGGAACACAGAAUGCCAGCUGCCAUUCCAGACGAGAGCUCUGCCCGCCCCACGCAAUUACUGAGGAAAAGCAGCCGUCGACCUCUGCACCCUCACGUCUUCCUAUCUGUGAGGCUGAAUGCGCUUGAGGAACUCCGCUAAGCUACUGAACCCUUGGCGGCCCCACCUCAACCCCCCAGGAACAAUCUCUUCCACUCUCUGGGCCAGAGUCUCCUUUUCUUUCAAGGGAGAAAUUGGCCGGAUUGGUUUUAGGUCUUGUAAAUAUGAAGCCUCUUGGCUCCUCGUUCAGGCUUCUUUGCAUCUUAUCACCUGGUUGGUACACCUUGGUGAGCCAGCGUGAUCAGGGAAUGAGUUCUUUCAGAACCCAUAAAUUUUUUGGAUAUAUGAUAUGUGGAUUUUGUCUCAGUUUAAAAAAGACUCACACACACAGUUUGUGGGAGGGAGAGUACAGUUUAUUUAUUAACUGAGAUACAAUUCACAUACCUUAAGAUUCACAUUUCCAAGUGUACACUUUGAUGGUUUUCAUUAUAUUCAUAGGGUUCUACAAACCACUGCUAUCUAAUUCAGAAUGUUUUCAUCAGCUCCCCUCCUAAAAUAAGCCUGUCCCCAUUAGUAAUUACUCCUAAUUCCUACCCACCCACCCCCC
Long non-coding RNA from Budorcas taxicolor (takin), 1511 nucleotides. RefSeq lists it as uncharacterized. The transcript has 2 exons. The record is from RefSeq and is a predicted model, not a curated record. Lineage: Eukaryota; Metazoa; Chordata; Mammalia; Artiodactyla; Bovidae.